GAUGAACGCUGGCGGCGUGCCUAAUACAUGCAAGUCGAGCGAACGGACGAGAAGCUUGCUUUUCUGAUGUUAGCGGCGGACGGGUGAGUAACACGUGGAUAACCUACCUAUAAGACUGGGAUAACUUCGGGAAACCGGAGCUAAUACCGGAUAAUAUUUUGAACCGCAUGGUUCAAAAGUGAAAGACGGUCUUGCUGUCACUUAUAGAUGGAUCCGCGCUGCAUUAGCUAGUUGGUAAGGUAACGGCUUACCAAGGCAACGAUGCAUAGCCGACCUGAGAGGGUGAUAGGCCACACUGGAACUGAGACACGGUCCAGACUCCUACGGGAGGCAGCAGUAGGGAAUCUUCCGCAAUGGUCGAAAGCCUGACGGAGCAACGCCGCGUGAGUGAUGAAGGUCUUCGGAUCGUAAAACUCUGUUAUUAGGGAAGAACAUAUGUGUAAGUAACUGUGCACAUCUUGACGGUACCUAAUCAGAAAGCCACGGCUAACUACGUG
Molecule: ribosomal RNA, 497 nt
Filed under: uncultured bacterium
Lineage: Bacteria
Description: partial 16S ribosomal RNA
Rfam family: Bacterial small subunit ribosomal RNA
Source: RNAcentral